GAUUUACGAAUCGACACUUAGACGUAAAUCUGUUUCUUCGUACGAACGUCGGAUUUCAGUUUGCGCCGAUAUUCUGGUUUUCAUCAUUGCUGCAAACUGCCUGCAUAGAUUGACUGUAACCUUGCUUAGUAUCAACUCUCAUACAGAGUUGUCUUUAUCGUUCAAACGCAGCUUUCGGUUUUAAUCGCAGAAAGUUUUCCACUGCACUAAUUCACCCCCCC
This 221-nucleotide long non-coding RNA is filed under the name Musa acuminata (dwarf banana). RNAcentral's name for it is "long non-coding RNA (MACU_LNC008932)". Lineage: Eukaryota; Viridiplantae; Streptophyta; Magnoliopsida; Zingiberales; Musaceae. The record is from RNAcentral.